RNAcentral lists this ribosomal RNA (444 nucleotides) under uncultured prokaryote. RNAcentral describes it as "partial 16S ribosomal RNA". The record is from RNAcentral.
CCCUACGGGGUGCAGCAGGUCCGAAGGGUCUUUGGCAUAAGCCAGCAGCAGGGCAUCCUCAAUCUCAUGGUGAAUUUCAGGUUUGAGUUCUUCCAAUUCUCCAAGGUAAACGUAAAAGCCCAAAGCGUUGGCUGCAGCAGCCCGCACGAAUUCCGCUUCAUCAGCAGCCGAAAGCAUGCGCAAAUAAGUAGGAACAAGCUUGGGGUCUUCUGCCUCCAAAAGCAGGCUGAUCGCGCUCACUUCACAUUCCGCGUCCCCGUCCUCCAGACCUAUUCGCCCGAUGUCCUCAAACAUCAACAGGUUGUCAUGCUCUGAAAGUUCUAGCAGGUCCUGCAAUACGGCUCUCCUGCGCACGACAGGAAUGGUAUGCCAGGCACUGGCAAGUAUCUUGCGGUCAACAGUCGGCAUGUCUGAGAAUUGAUAAAGCAGGCGGGGCGGGAGAGC